AUUGAACGCUGGCGGCAGGCCUAACACAUGCAAGUCGAGCGAGCGGCGGACGGGUGAGUAAUGUCUGGGAACCUGCCUGAUGGAGGGGGAUAACUACUGGAAACGGUAGCUAAUACCUUAUACCAUCGGAUGUGCCACGCUGGGAUUAGCUAGUAGGUGGGGUAACGGCUCACCUAGGCGACGAUCCCUAGCUGGUCUGAGAGGAUGACCAGCCACACUGGAACUGAGACACGGUCCAGACUCCUACGGGAGGCAGCAGUGGGGAAUAUUGCACAAUGGGCGCAAGCCUGAUGCAGCCAUGCCGCGUGUAUGAAGAAGGCCUUCGGGUUGUAAAGUACUUUCAGCGGGGAGGCGUUACCCGCAGAAGAAGCACCGGCUAACUCCGUGCCAGCAGCCGCGGUAAUAC
This 406-nucleotide ribosomal RNA is filed under the name uncultured bacterium. RNAcentral's name for it is "partial 16S ribosomal RNA". It matches the Rfam family "Bacterial small subunit ribosomal RNA", at positions 30 to 526 of the family's 1533-position model. The record is from RNAcentral.